UACGUAGGGUGCAAGCGUUAAUCGGAAUUACUGGGCGUAAAGCGUGCGCAGGCGGCUUUGUAAGUCUGUCGUGAAAUCCCCGGGCUCAACCUGGGAAUUGCGAUGGAGACUGCAAGGCUAGAAUCUGGCAGAGGGGGGUAGAAUUCCACGUGUAGCAGUGAAAUGCGUAGAGAUGUGGAGGAACACCGAUGGCGAAGGCAGCCCCCUGGGUCAAGAUUGACGCUCAUGCACGGAAGCGUGGGGAGCAAACAGG
This 253-nucleotide ribosomal RNA is filed under the name uncultured bacterium. RNAcentral's name for it is "partial 16S ribosomal RNA". It matches the Rfam family "Bacterial small subunit ribosomal RNA", at positions 524 to 776 of the family's 1533-position model. The record is from RNAcentral.